Molecule: long non-coding RNA, 2201 nt
Filed under: Canis lupus familiaris (dog)
Lineage: Eukaryota; Metazoa; Chordata; Mammalia; Carnivora; Canidae
Description: lncRNA (ENSCAFG00000057121.1, ENSCAFG00845010409.1)
Source: RNAcentral
CGGAGGCGUUUCCCCCCGCGCCGCCCACCCGCCAGCGCGCAGCAGGGGGGUUGAAGGAAGGACUCUGGGGUGGAGGGGGGCACCUGGGCCGCGCGCUUCCUCCUGGUGAAAAUUAACGAGGAAUGUGUCGGAAAAGGCUGGGCCUGACUGAGACGCCUAUUUGAACACAGUUCUUCUCCAAAUGCCUAUGACCUUCCUCCUAAGAUGAAUGGAGUAGCCGAGGCAUGUUCUUCUCUUGACAACUAUAGAAGCACAAUAGAAGGGAAGCCUAAACCAGGUAAGUCCUUUUCCAAAUAUUGUCGGCAUCACAUCUGUCAACAUGUUAUCAGCCAAAGCAAAUCAUGUGCUAAGGCUAAAGAGCAGGGAACUACAUCCACAGUAGAAGAGCACUACAAAAUGAUACAGUAAAAGGCUCGUACAGAGGAAAAUCUGAAGAAAUGGAGCUAGUGUGCAAUUUACCACAAACCGAUGUGACAUAAUUUAUUUAAACAACCUCAUAUUAGAAGGUUUUCUGCUUUUUGCUAUUACAAGGAGUGCAGCAAUGAUUAAUGAGUAUAUAUAUAUAUACAUUAUCUUUCACAUUUGCCAGUAUAUCUCUAGGGUAAAUCCUUAGAAUAUGAAUAUGGGCUUUUGUGAUUUUGAUAGGUACUGUCAAAGCACCAUUCAGAGAUUAUUGUAACAAUUUAUAUCUUCACCAAUAAUGUUGGGACUGUGUUAUCAUUUUUUCAUUCCUGCCAACCUUGCACAUGAAAAUGUAAUAUUUGUAUAGCUCUAAUUUGUAUUUUUUUAAUUAUAAGUGAGGUUGACAAUCUAUAUGUUUAAAAAUCACAAAUAUUUAUUUUUUAAAUCUGUAUGUUCAUAUGUUUUGCCCAUAUUGUUCGGAUUUUUUUCUUUUUCUAAUUGAUUUGUAUAUAUUGAAGAAAUUAGCACUUUAUUUUUUAAAUUAAGAGCCCUCAAAAACAAUAGCUCCUCUUAAUUAAGAACACCAAACAGAAUCAUAGGCCAGCUAGUUCACAGAGAGAGUCAGUGAAAGAGCAAAGAAGAAACCCAACCCCCCCAAGGUCAAAACACAGAUACUGACCUCAAACACUACCCCUGCUUGAAUUUGUUAAUUUAUGCCUUAAUCAUCUCAGAUUGCCAUAAUAAAAUAUCAUAAAUUAGGUGACUUAACCAAUAUGAAUUUAUUUCUCAUGGUUCUAGAGUUUGGGAAGUCUAAGAUCAAGGUGUUGUCAGGGUAGGUUACAUGCUGAGGCCUCAUAUCUUGGCUUGUAGGUAACAACCAUCUCUGUAUGUCCACGUGACCUUUUCUUUGUGUACAGGCAGAGAGGAAACUCUUCUUCUAAGGACAUUAAUAUUAUCAUGGACAUUAUCAUCAAUGGCUCACCUCCUAAUACUAUCACAUUGAGGCUUCAACAUGUGAAUUUGUUGGAGGGUGGAUGCAACCCCCCAUAACAUUUAGUUAAAAUGUUAUUAUAUAAAGAAAAGAAUUCAUUUUAAUUAUAAAAGGUAGUAUAAAUGCAUGUCUCUUAUUUUUCUUAACUGAUUUAAAACACAAUUGUAUAAAAUACCAUGUAUACAAUUAUAUGAUUAGAUAAGAACAUAUAGAAAUAUAUUUGCCGGGAUCCCUGGGUGGCGCAGCGGUUUGGUGCCUGCCUUUGGCCCAGGGCGCGAUCCUGGAGACCCGGGAUCGAAUCCCACGUCGGGCUCCCGGUGCAUGGAGCCUGCUUCUCCCUCUGCCUGUGUCUCUGCCUCUCUCUCUCUCUCUCUGUGACUAUCAUAAAUUAAUUAAUUAAUUAAUUAAAAAAUAUAUAUAUUUGCCAACAAUAGUACAAAGAAGGGUAAUGUUAACAAAGUCUUAUUGGGCUAAGAAAAUGACACUUGAUGGUAACUUGAAUCCAUGGAACAUAUGCAGAGAACCAAAAAGAGUAAAUAAGGUUAAUAAAACAAACUCUGUAAAUAUAAACUUGUUUUCCUCUCUUUACUUAGCUAGAUUAAUAGGAUAAAAUUAUACAAAGUGGGGAUCCCUGGGUGGCGCAGCGGUUUGGCGCCUGCCUUUGGCCCAGGGCGCGAUCCUGGAGACCCGGGAUAGAAUCCCACGUCAGGCUCCCGGUGCAUGGAGCCUGCUUCUCCCUCUGCCUGUGUCUCUGCCUCUCUCUCUCUCACUGUGUGCCUAUCAUGAAUAAAAAAAAAAAAAAAAAAAA